Molecule: long non-coding RNA, 935 nt
Filed under: Homo sapiens (human)
Lineage: Eukaryota; Metazoa; Chordata; Mammalia; Primates; Hominidae
Description: HSALNT0318144
Source: RNAcentral
UGCGCUGCUGCUCGGUCAGCCAGCGUCUGGGAUGGGAGCGCUCCUGCAUUUUACAUGACUGCGGGGCCUGUUCCUUGCGCCUGUCUGGUCGCGUCACAUCAUGGAGGGUUUCUCGGGGCGGCCGGCCGCCUCUGAGCACAGCCAGGGUGGUGUUUGCAGCACAGCUGCUGCCUAGGCCUCGCUGCGGAGGUGCUGGGCCACGGCCCCGUGGAGGCAGAGCCGCAGGGCCAUCGACAUGUCCUUUGAAAACGGGCAUUUCCCCAACUCAUGCAGGUGGAGGGGAGAGCGAAGCCAAAUGGGACACCGGCCCCCACACACUGCCCCGGCUCCUGCAUUUCCGGAGAUGGAAACCUGGAGAGCAGCUGGGAUCUUGAAAACGUGGGUUGGACUGCGUCACCCCGACCCCUGCCUCAAAGCCCCUCCGUGGUUGCCUACAGCACAGCUUGAAGCCCCUUGGUUCUGCUUCCCGGGCCUGCAGCGCUGGCCCCAGCCUGGCCGAGCGAGCAUUUGUUCACCCAAGACCUUUCCCCUCCUGCCCUCGUGGAGCCUCCACAAGGAGUAAACAACCACUUCUGGUCCCUCAAAGCAUCAACUCUGUGCCUUGCAGACAGCGGACACGUAACACAGCCACGCGGCGUGAACAUGAGCAGACUUCUUUUUUCCAGGAUGUGCACGGUUUCCACGACAAUGCCCACUGCACGCCUUAUGGCCUCACCAGAGACGUAAAGCAGAUGCCAAGAAACUUCCCCCCAAAAUGGGCUGGCUUGCCAAGCCCAGGACCGCCUGUCCAGCUGGGGCUGGGGGCAAGGAUCCCAUUUUCUGUGACUCUCUUUGCUCUGAUGGUCAGGUUCACCGGCCGUACGUGUAAUCUGAAGCAUUCGGUAGCGAUCUAAUUAAAUGUUAACACAUCAUUAAAGUGAUUUGCGAUAAGCACA